CACGUAGGGGACGAGCGUUGUCCGGAUUCAUUGGGCGUAAAGCGCGCGUAGGCGGCUCGGAAAGUCGGUCGUGAAAUGCCGGGGCUCAACCCCGGGACUGCGUCCGAUACUCUCGAGCUGGAGGCAGGUAGGGGAGAUCGGAAUUCCUGGUGUAGCGGUGAAAUGCGCAGAUAUCAGGAGGAACACCGAUGGCGAAGGCAGGUCUCUGGGCCGAUACUGACGCUGAGGAGCGAAAGCGUGGGGAGCGAACAGG
Molecule: ribosomal RNA, 253 nt
Filed under: uncultured bacterium
Lineage: Bacteria
Description: partial 16S ribosomal RNA
Rfam family: Bacterial small subunit ribosomal RNA
Source: RNAcentral